This 68-nucleotide transfer RNA is filed under the name Aromia bungii. RNAcentral's name for it is "tRNA-Ser". Lineage: Eukaryota; Metazoa; Arthropoda; Insecta; Coleoptera; Cerambycidae. The record is from RNAcentral.
AGUCAAUGAGCUUGUAUAAGCAUUUACUUUGAAAGUAAAAUAAAGAUAUAUAAAUUUUCUAUUGACUU